This 254-nucleotide ribosomal RNA is filed under the name uncultured bacterium. RNAcentral describes it as "partial 16S ribosomal RNA". It matches the Rfam family "Bacterial small subunit ribosomal RNA", at positions 524 to 776 of the family's 1533-position model. The record is from RNAcentral.
UACGGGGGGGCAGCAGUGUUGUCGGAUUUACUGGGCGUAAAGGGCGCGUAGGCGGCCACCGCAAGUCGACUGUGAAAUCUCCGGGCUUAACCCGGAAAGGUCAGCCGAUACUGCGGGGCUAGAGUGCGGAAGGGGCAACUGGAAUUCUUGGUGUAGCGGUGAAAUGCGUAGAUAUCAAGAGGAACACCUGCGGCGAAGGCGGGUUGCUGGGCCGACACUGACGCUGAUGCGCGAAAGCUAGGGGAGCGAACGGG